GUCCAGGGAUGGGAAUCGAACCCAACAGUGUUAUGCUUACCUGGCAAUUGCCAUGUUCACUAGGCUACCCUGGA
Molecule: non-coding RNA, 74 nt
Organism: Cordylochernes scorpioides
Lineage: Eukaryota; Metazoa; Arthropoda; Arachnida; Pseudoscorpiones; Chernetidae
Source: the annotation of a GenBank genome assembly